UUAAGCGACUAAGCGUACACGGUGGAUGCCCUGGCAGUCAGAGGCGAUGAAGGACGUGCUAAUCUGCGAAAAGCGUCGGUAAGGUGAUAUGAACCGUUAUAACCGGCGAUGUCCGAAUGGGGAAACCCAGUGCAAUUCGUUGCACUAUCGUUAACUGAAUACAUAGGUUAACGAGGCGAACCGGGGGAACUGAAACAUCUAAGUACCCCGAGGAAAAGAAAUCAACCGAGAUUCCCCCAGUAGCGGCGAGCGAACGGGGAGCAGCCCGGAGUCUGAAUCAGCUUGUGUGUUAGUGGAAGCGUCUGGAAAGUCGCAGGGUACAGGGUGAUACUCCCGUACACUAAAACACACAGGCUGUGAACUCGAAGAGUAGGGCGGGACACGUGGUAUCCUGUCUGAAUAUGGGGGGACCAUCCUCCAAGGCUAAAUACUCCUGACUGACCGAUAGUGAACCAGUACCGUGAGGGAAAGGCGAAAAGAACCCCGGCGAGGGGAGUGAAAAAGAACCUGAAACCGUGUACGUACAAGCAGUAGGAGCCCACUAGUUGGGUGACUGCGUACCUUUUGUAUAAUGGGUCAGCGACUUAUAUUCUGUAGCAAGGUUAACCGUAUAGGGGAGCCGCAGGGAAACCGAGUCUUAACUGGGCGUUAAGUUGCAGGGUAUAGACCCGAAACCCGGUGAUCUAGCCAUGGGCAGGUUGAAGGUUGGGUAACACUAACUGGAGGACCGAACCGACUAAUGUUGAAAAAUUAGCGGAUGACUUGUGGCUGGGGGUGAAAGGCCAAUCAAACCGGGAGAUAGCUGGUUCUCCCCGAAAGCUAUUUAGGUAGCGCCUCGUGAACUCAUCUUCGGGGGUAGAGCACUGUUUCGGCUAGGGGGUCAUCCCGACUUACCAACCCGAUGCAAACUACGAAUACCGAAGAAUGUUAUCACGGGAGACACACGGCGGGUGCUAACGUCCGUCGUGAAGAGGGAAACAACCCAGACCGCCAGCUAAGGUCCCAAAGUCAUGGUUAAGUGGGAAACGAUGUGGGAAGGCCCAGACAGCCAGGAUGUUGGCUUAGAAGCAGCCAUCAUUUAAAGAAAGCGUAAUAGCUCACUGGUCGAGUCGGCCUGCGCGGAAGAUGUAACGGGGCUAAACCAUGCACCGAAGCUGCGGCAGCGACGCUUAUGCGUUGUUGGGUAGGGGAGCGUUCUGUAAGCCGUUGAAGGUGGCCUGUGAGGGUUGCUGGAGGUAUCAGAAGUGCGAAUGCUGACAUAAGUAACGAUAAUGCGGGUGAAAAACCCGCACGCCGGAAGACCAAGGGUUCCUGUCCAACGUUAAUCGGGGCAGGGUGAGUCGACCCCUAAGGCGAGGCCGAAAGGCGUAGUCGAUGGGAAACAGGUUAAUAUUCCUGUACUUGGUGUUACUGCGAAGGGGGGACGGAGAAGGCUAUGUUGGCCGGGCGACGGUUGUCCCGGUUUAAGCAUGUAGGCGGAUGUUCCAGGUAAAUCCGGAACGUCACUAACGCUGAGGUGUGAUGACGAGGCACUACGGUGCUGAAGUGACAAAUGCCCUGCUUCCAGGAAAAGCCUCUAAGCAUCAGGUAACAUCAAAUCGUACCCCAAACCGACACAGGUGGUCAGGUAGAGAAUACCAAGGCGCUUGAGAGAACUCGGGUGAAGGAACUAGGCAAAAUGGUGCCGUAACUUCGGGAGAAGGCACGCUGAUGGUAAGUGAAGUGACUUGCUCAUGGAGCUGAAAUCAGUCGAAGAUACCAGCUGGCUGCAACUGUUUAUUAAAAACACAGCACUGUGCAAACACGAAAGUGGACGUAUACGGUGUGACGCCUGCCCGGUGCCGGAAGGUUAAUUGAUGGGGUUAUCCUCGCGGAGAAGCUCUUGAUCGAAGCCCCGGUAAACGGCGGCCGUAACUAUAACGGUCCUAAGGUAGCGAAAUUCCUUGUCGGGUAAGUUCCGACCUGCACGAAUGGCGUAAUGAUGGCCAGGCUGUCUCCACCCGAGACUCAGUGAAAUUGAACUCGCUGUGAAGAUGCAGUGUACCCGCGGCAAGACGGAAAGACCCCGUGAACCUUUACUAUAGCUUGACACUGAACACUGGUCCUUGAUGUGUAGGAUAGGUGGGAGGCUUUGAAGUGUGGACGCCAGUCUGCAUGGAGCCAUCCUUGAAAUACCACCCUUUAAUGGCUGGUGUUCUAACGUGGGCCCGUAAUCCGGGUUG
This 2222-nucleotide ribosomal RNA is filed under the name Klebsiella oxytoca MGH 28. Its description in RNAcentral is "bacterial LSU rRNA". It matches the Rfam family "Bacterial large subunit ribosomal RNA", at positions 1 to 2247 of the family's 2925-position model. The record is from RNAcentral. Lineage: Bacteria; Pseudomonadati; Pseudomonadota; Gammaproteobacteria; Enterobacterales; Enterobacteriaceae.